AUUGAACGCUGGCGGAAUGCUUUACACAUGCAAGUCGAACGGCAGCACGGGUGCUUGCACCUGGUGGCGAGUGGCGAACGGGUGAGUAAUACAUCGGAACGUACCCAGUUAUGGGGGAUAACUAACCGAAAGGUUAGCUAAUACCGCAUACGCCCUGAGGGGGAAAGCGGGGGACCGUAAGGCCUCGCGUACUUGGAGCGGCCGAUGUCUGAUUAGCUAGUUGGUGAGGUAAAGGCUCACCAAGGCGACGAUCAGUAGCAGGUCUGAGAGGAUGAUCUGCCACACUGGAACUGAGACACGGUCCAGACUCCUACGGGAGGCAGCAGUGGGGAAUUUUGGACAAUGGGCGAAAGCCUGAUCCAGCCAUUCCGCGUGAGUGAAGAAGGCCUUCGGGUUGUAAAGCUCUUUCGGCAGGGAAGAAACGCUCUGGGAUAAUACUCCGGGGUAAUGACGGUACCUGAAGAAGAAGCACCGGCUAACUACGUGCCAGCAGCCGCCGUAA
This 502-nucleotide ribosomal RNA is filed under the name uncultured bacterium. RNAcentral describes it as "partial 16S ribosomal RNA". It matches the Rfam family "Bacterial small subunit ribosomal RNA", at positions 30 to 523 of the family's 1533-position model. The record is from RNAcentral.